RNAcentral lists this ribosomal RNA (1364 nucleotides) under Arthrobacter psychrochitiniphilus. RNAcentral's name for it is "bacterial SSU rRNA". It matches the Rfam family "Bacterial small subunit ribosomal RNA", at positions 81 to 1443 of the family's 1533-position model. The record is from RNAcentral. Lineage: Bacteria; Bacillati; Actinomycetota; Actinomycetes; Micrococcales; Micrococcaceae.
UUGCGGGGGGAUUAGUGGCGAACGGGUGAGUAACACGUGAGUAACCUGCCCUUAACUCUGGGAUAAGCCUUGGAAACGGGGUCUAAUACUGGAUAUUGACUUUACCUCGCAUGGGGUUUGGUUGAAAGAUUUAUUGGUUUUGGAUGGACUCGCGGCCUAUCAGCUUGUUGGUGAGGUAAUGGCUCACCAAGGCGACGACGGGUAGCCGGCCUGAGAGGGUGACCGGCCACACUGGGACUGAGACACGGCCCAGACUCCUACGGGAGGCAGCAGUGGGGAAUAUUGCACAAUGGGCGAAAGCCUGAUGCAGCGACGCCGCGUGAGGGAUGACGGCCUUCGGGUUGUAAACCUCUUUCAGUAGGGAACAAGGCCAGCAUUUUUGUUGGUUGAGGGUACUUGCAGAAGAAGCGCCGGCUAACUACGUGCCAGCAGCCGCGGUAAUACGUAGGGCGCAAGCGUUAUCCGGAAUUAUUGGGCGUAAAGAGCUCGUAGGCGGUUUGUCGCGUCUGCCGUGAAAGUCCGGGGCUCAACUCCGGAUCUGCGGUGGGUACGGGCAGACUAGAGUGAUGUAGGGGAGACUGGAAUUCCUGGUGUAGCGGUGAAAUGCGCAGAUAUCAGGAGGAACACCGAUGGCGAAGGCAGGUCUCUGGGCAUUAACUGACGCUGAGGAGCGAAAGCAUGGGGAGCGAACAGGAUUAGAUACCCUGGUAGUCCAUGCCGUAAACGUUGGGCACUAGGUGUGGGGGACAUUCCACGUUUUCCGCGCCGUAGCUAACGCAUUAAGUGCCCCGCCUGGGGAGUACGGCCGCAAGGCUAAAACUCAAAGGAAUUGACGGGGGGCCCGCACAAGCGGCGGAGCAUGCGGAUUAAUUCGAUGCAACGCGAAGAACCUUACCAAGGCUUGACAUGAACUGGAAAUACCUGGAAACAGGUGCCCCGCUUGCGGUCGGUUUACAGGUGGUGCAUGGUUGUCGUCAGCUCGUGUCGUGAGAUGUUGGGUUAAGUCCCGCAACGAGCGCAACCCUCGUUCUAUGUUGCCAGCACGUGAUGGUGGGGACUCAUAGGAGACUGCCGGGGUCAACUCGGAGGAAGGUGAGGACGACGUCAAAUCAUCAUGCCCCUUAUGUCUUGGGCUUCACGCAUGCUACAAUGGCCGGUACAAUGGGUUGCGAUACUGUGAGGUGGAGCUAAUCCCAAAAAGCCGGUCUCAGUUCGGAUUGGGGUCUGCAACUCGACCCCAUGAAGUCGGAGUCGCUAGUAAUCGCAGAUCAGCAACGCUGCGGUGAAUACGUUCCCGGGCCUUGUACACACCGCCCGUCAAGUCACGAAAGUUGGUAACACCCGAAGCCGGUGGCCUAACCCCC